This 34-nucleotide ribosomal RNA is filed under the name Pleurotus ostreatus (oyster mushroom). RNAcentral's name for it is "partial 28S ribosomal RNA". The record is from RNAcentral. RNAcentral also lists the same sequence under 8 other names. Lineage: Eukaryota; Fungi; Basidiomycota; Agaricomycetes; Agaricales; Pleurotaceae.
UUUGACCUCAAAUCAGGUAGGACUACCCGCUGAA